UCCAUUAACUUUGAACGUUUUAAAUAAGCAACCGAAAGCACAUUUGAAUGCAAGUUUCAGGAUGCAUAGAUCAACAGAUGUUAAGAAACUCAAACUGGGAAAUUGUUGCAACCACGUGGAAUAGCCGGUAUGAUAACCUUCUCAAGGGGAAGGAGCUCACUCAGCAGGCCAGGAUCCCGGGGCUCUGGGAGGGCAAUUGCAUUAUGCAGGCAUGGACAACAAACAGGAAGGUAUCCCCCUUGUAAAAUCACCACAAGCCUUCAGAAAUAAGGCUUUAGUUCCUUACAAAGCUGUGCAGACGUGAAACCCUCCUGGGAGAUUGAUGAGUCCUAUUAACCUUGUUGCAUAGAUGGAAACUCAGAAACAAAGUGACUCCGAGGAUUAAGAGGAAGUCAAUGUCAGCACCAGGAUUAGAAUUCACACUUGCCUGGUUUCUCAGCCCACGACCAGCUCCCCCAUGGAUCCCAGCUUUGUCUUCCUCCCCAAGUGAGGGGGCAGGGUGAUU
This is a long non-coding RNA of Tupaia belangeri chinensis (Chinese tree shrew), 505 nucleotides long. RefSeq lists it as uncharacterized. NCBI's taxonomy places the organism in Eukaryota, Metazoa, Chordata, Mammalia, Scandentia, Tupaiidae. The transcript is spliced from 3 exons. The record is from RefSeq and is a predicted model, not a curated record.